Transfer RNA from Sphaerulina musiva SO2202, 80 nucleotides. It matches the Rfam family "tRNA". From Rfam's summary of the family: Transfer RNA (tRNA) molecules are approximately 80 nucleotides in length. Their secondary structure includes four short double-helical elements and three loops (D, anti-codon, and T loops). The record is from Rfam. Lineage: Eukaryota; Fungi; Ascomycota; Dothideomycetes; Mycosphaerellales; Mycosphaerellaceae.
GGUGAUAUGGUCUAGUGGUAUGACGACGUGUUGUGGUCCACAAAGCCGCGUUAGCCCGUGUUCGAUUCACGGUAUCGCCA